GUGAACGCCCUCACGGGCUUAUAACUAUUCCAAACCUCUGUGAACCGUGCCCUUCGGGGCUAUUUUACAAACAUGGUGUAAUGAACGUCAUAUAUAAUAACAAAACAAAACUUUCAACAACGGAUCUCUUGGCUCUCGCAUCGAUGAAGAACGCAGCGAAAUGCGAUAAGUAAUGUGAAUUGCAGAAUUCAGUGAAUCAUCGAAUCUUUGAACGCACCUUGCGCCCUCUGGUAUUCCGGAGGGCAUGCCUGUUUGAGUGUCAUGUAGACUCAAUCCCUCGGGUUUCCGAGGAGAUUGGACUUGGGUGUUGCCGCUCUGCCGGCUCGCCUUAAAAGACUUAGCGGGAUAGCACCGUAGUCGGCGUAAUAAGUUUCGUCGGUGAAGGUUGUGAUGACUGCUUACAAUCGCCCUCGGGCAAUUUUUGAC
RNAcentral lists this unclassified non-coding RNA (426 nucleotides) under uncultured Saitozyma. Its description in RNAcentral is "sequence contains ITS1, 5.8S rRNA gene, ITS2". The stretch from base 109 to 262 matches the Rfam family "5.8S ribosomal RNA". Lineage: Eukaryota; Fungi; Basidiomycota; Tremellomycetes; Tremellales; Trimorphomycetaceae. The record is from RNAcentral.